This 250-nucleotide ribosomal RNA is filed under the name uncultured bacterium. Its description in RNAcentral is "partial 16S ribosomal RNA". It matches the Rfam family "Bacterial small subunit ribosomal RNA", at positions 524 to 773 of the family's 1533-position model. The record is from RNAcentral.
UACGUAGGUGGCAAGCGUUGUCCGGAUUUACUGGGCGUAAAGGGAGCGUAGGUGGAUAUUUAAGUGGGAUGUGAAAUACCCGGGCUUAACCUGGGUGCUGCAUUCCAAACUGGAUAUCUAGAGUGCAGGAGAGGAAAGGAGAAUUCCUAGUGUAGCGGUGAAAUGCGUAGAUAUAUGGAGGAACACCAGUGGCGAAGGCGCCUUUCUGGACUGUAACUGACACUGAGGCUCGAAAGCGUGGGGAGCAAAC